This 66-nucleotide transfer RNA is filed under the name Cavia porcellus (domestic guinea pig). It matches the Rfam family "tRNA". Rfam says of the family: Transfer RNA (tRNA) molecules are approximately 80 nucleotides in length. Their secondary structure includes four short double-helical elements and three loops (D, anti-codon, and T loops). Further hydrogen bonds mediate the characteristic L-shaped molecular structure. tRNAs have two regions of fundamental functional importance: the anti-codon, which is responsible for specific mRNA codon recognition, and the 3' end, to which the tRNAs corresponding amino acid is attached (by aminoacyl-tRNA synthetases). tRNAs cope with the degeneracy of the genetic code in two manners: having more than one tRNA (with a specific anti-codon) for a particular amino acid; and 'wobble' base-pairing, i.e. permitting non-standard base-pairing at the 3rd anti-codon position. The record is from Rfam by way of RNAcentral. Lineage: Eukaryota; Metazoa; Chordata; Mammalia; Rodentia; Caviidae.
GGGGAUUUAGCUCAGUGGCAUAAGCGCCUGCCUUGCAAGCAGGCAGUCGUGAGUUUUCAAUCCCCG